UGUAGAUCUAUCUGGUGCAGCGAGAAGAGU
RNAcentral lists this non-coding RNA (30 nucleotides) under Rattus norvegicus (Norway rat). Lineage: Eukaryota; Metazoa; Chordata; Mammalia; Rodentia; Muridae. The record is from RNAcentral.